This 496-nucleotide ribosomal RNA is filed under the name uncultured bacterium. RNAcentral describes it as "partial 16S ribosomal RNA". It matches the Rfam family "Bacterial small subunit ribosomal RNA", at positions 29 to 507 of the family's 1533-position model. The record is from RNAcentral.
AUGCACGCUGGCGGCGUGCCUAAUACAUGCAAGUCGAGCGAACAGACGAGGAGCUUGCUCCUCUGACGUUAGCGGCGGACGGGUGAGUAACACGUGGAUAACCUACCUAUAAGACUGGGAUAACUUCGGGAAACCGGAGCUAAUACCGGAUAAUAUAUUGAACCGCAUGGUUCAAUAGUGAAAGACGGUUUUGCUGUCACUUAUAGAUGGAUCCGCGCCGCAUUAGCUAGUUGGUAAGGUAACGGCUUACCAAGGCGACGAUGCGUAGCCGACCUGAGAGGGUGAUCGGCCACGCUGGAACUGAGACACGGUCCAGACUCCUACGGGAGGCAGCAGUAGGGAAUCUUCCGCAAUGGGCGAAAGCCUGACGGAGCAACGCCGCGUGAGUGAUGAAGGUCUUCGGAUCGUAAAACUCUGUUAUUAGGGAAGAACAAAUGUGUAAGUAACUAUGCACGUCUUGACGGUACCUAAUCAGAAAGCCACGGCUAACUACGUG